AUGACUUGAACAGUACUCUUCAAAUUCCCUUGAAGUGUACUCACCUCCAUUGUCACUUCGGAGACGCUUUAGCUUUUGAUAUGUCUCCCUUUCUACUAGAGCAUUAAACUUCUGGAAAACUUGAAACACGUGAUCUUUGGUUUUCAAAAUAUAAACCCAAAAUUUUCGUGAAGCAUCAUCAAUAAAAGUAACAAAAUAUUUGUUACCAACCAUUGAUUCAAUUUCCAUUGGGCCACAAACAUCAGAAUAUAUUAAAUCAAGUAUAUUCAAUUUUUCACUGUACUGAAAUCACCUACUAGAUAUCUGCAAAAAAGACCUCUUACCGGUGUGGCAUGGUAAGAUGCCGCUGUGUCAACCACCCAUUCCGACUCUGGACCUGACAGGUGCAUGCAUUCCUCUUCCUCAUUUAUAAAGAGGACAUCAUUACCAUUGUUUUGCACCAUGGAGGCUGUGUUAUCGUCAUUCUUCUGGCCACUAAUUUCACCUUUUCCCUUCCUUAGAUUUGGGCAAUCUCUUUUGAAGUGACCGGGUUGAUCACAGUUGUAGCAAUUUCUGGCUUUUGAUUUGGAUCGAUUCUUUGACUUUCCACGAGCUCCGGAUCUACCAUAGUUGCUCGAACUCCGUUGAUAACUCCUGCCUCUACCUUCUGUGAUAAGAGCUUGUCCUUGAUUUUCAGGCUUCUUUCUAAUCUUCUUAUUGAGUAAAAGAGCUGAUGUUACAUCUUUCAACUCAAUAAUAGUCUUACCGUGCAGGAUGGUUGUUGCCAAAUUAUCGUACGAAGCUGGCAAUGAGUUCAAUAGCAAGAUGACUUUAUCUUCCUCCUCGAUUUUCACUCCGAGGUUGGCAAGCUGUGUGAUUAGUCCGUUAAACACAUUUAAAUGUAACAAAGAAUUCAUACCUUUACCCACGUGUAGGGCGUAUAACUGCUUCUUCAAGAACAAUUUAUUUGUCAGCGUUUUGGACAUGUAUAGGCUUUCCAACCUUGUCCAAAUUCCACGUGCAAUGUCUUCAUCAAUGAUGUUAUUUACCACAUCAUNNNNNNNNNNNNNNNNNNNNNNNNNNNAGAUGACUUUAUCUUCCUCCUCGAUUUUCACUCCGAGGUUGGCAAGCUGUGUGAUUAGUCCGUUAAACACAUUUAAACGUGACAAAAAAUUCAUACCUUCACCCAUGUAUAGGGCGUAUAACUGCUUCUUCAUGUACAAUUUAUUUGUUAGCGUUUUGGACAUGUAUAGGCUUUCCAACCUUGUCCAAAUUCCACGUGAAAUGUCUUCAUCAAUGAUGUUAUUUACCACA
RNAcentral lists this long non-coding RNA (1293 nucleotides) under Nicotiana benthamiana. RNAcentral's name for it is "long non-coding RNA (NBEN_LNC003698)". The record is from RNAcentral. Lineage: Eukaryota; Viridiplantae; Streptophyta; Magnoliopsida; Solanales; Solanaceae.